This 74-nucleotide transfer RNA is filed under the name Hyphobacterium sp. CCMP332. RNAcentral's name for it is "tRNA-Thr". It matches the Rfam family "tRNA". Rfam says of the family: Transfer RNA (tRNA) molecules are approximately 80 nucleotides in length. Their secondary structure includes four short double-helical elements and three loops (D, anti-codon, and T loops). Further hydrogen bonds mediate the characteristic L-shaped molecular structure. tRNAs have two regions of fundamental functional importance: the anti-codon, which is responsible for specific mRNA codon recognition, and the 3' end, to which the tRNAs corresponding amino acid is attached (by aminoacyl-tRNA synthetases). tRNAs cope with the degeneracy of the genetic code in two manners: having more than one tRNA (with a specific anti-codon) for a particular amino acid; and 'wobble' base-pairing, i.e. permitting non-standard base-pairing at the 3rd anti-codon position. Lineage: Bacteria; Pseudomonadati; Pseudomonadota; Alphaproteobacteria; Maricaulales; Maricaulaceae. The record is from RNAcentral.
GCCGGCUUAGCUCGCUGGUAGAGCACCUGAUUUGUAAUCAGGGGUCGGGAGUUCGAGUCCCUCAGCCGGCACCA